This 200-nucleotide ribosomal RNA is filed under the name uncultured bacterium. RNAcentral describes it as "partial 16S ribosomal RNA". It matches the Rfam family "Bacterial small subunit ribosomal RNA", at positions 524 to 714 of the family's 1533-position model. The record is from RNAcentral.
UACGGAGGAUCCAAGCGUUAUCCGGAUUUAUUGGGUUUAAAGGGUGCGUAGGCCGGCCUGUUAAGGUCAAGGGGUGAAAGACGGGUAGCUCAACUAUCGCAGUGCCCUUGAUACUGAUGGGGCUUUGAAUUGACUAGAGGGUAGGCGGGAAUGUGACAAGUAGCGGUGAAAAUGCAUAGAUAUGUCACAGAACACCCGAU